Molecule: ribosomal RNA, 468 nt
Filed under: uncultured bacterium
Lineage: Bacteria
Description: partial 16S ribosomal RNA
Rfam family: Bacterial small subunit ribosomal RNA
Source: RNAcentral
GACGAACGCUGGCGGCGUGCUUAACACAUGCAGGUCGAACGGAAAGGCCCUGCUUUUGUGGGGUUCUCGAGUGGCGAACGGGUGAGUAACACGUGAGUAACCUGCCCUUGACUUUGGGAUAACUUCAGGAAACUGGGGCUAAUACCGGAUAGGAGCUCCUGCUGCAUGGUGGGGGUUGGAAAGUUUCGGCGGUUGGGGAUGGACUCGCGGCUUAUCAGCUUGUUGGUGGGGUAGUGGCUUACCAAGGCUUUGACGGGUAGCCGGCCUGAGAGGGUGACCGGCCACAAUGGGCCUGCGAUAGGCCGCAGUAUCCUACGGGAGGCAGCAGUGGGGAAUAUUGCACAAUGGGCGGAAGCCUGAUGCAGCAACCCCGCGUGCGGGAUGACCGCCUUCGGGUUGUAAACCGCUUUCGCCUGUGACGAAGCGUGAGUGACGGUAAUGGGUAAAGAAGCACCGGCUAACUACGUG